GAUGAACGCUAGCUACAGGCUUAACACAUGCAAGUCGAGGGGCAUCAGUUUGGUUUGCUUGCAAACCAAAGCUGGCGACCGGCGCACGGGUGAGUAACACGUAUCCAACCUGCCUCAUACUCGGGGAUAGCCUUUCGAAAGAAAGAUUAAUAUCCGAUAGCAUAUAUUUCCCGCAUGGGUUUAUAUUAAAGAAAUUCGGUAUGAGAUGGGGAUGCGUUCCAUUAGUUGUUGGCGGGUAACGGCCCACCAAGACUACGAUGGAUAGGGGUUCUGAGAGGAAGGUCCCCCACAUUGGAACUGAGACACGGUCCAAACUCCUACGGGAGGCAGCAGUGAGAAUAUUGGUCAAUGGACGCGAGUCUGACC
RNAcentral lists this ribosomal RNA (366 nucleotides) under uncultured bacterium. Its description in RNAcentral is "bacterial SSU rRNA". It matches the Rfam family "Bacterial small subunit ribosomal RNA", at positions 28 to 388 of the family's 1533-position model. The record is from RNAcentral.